Long non-coding RNA from Numida meleagris (helmeted guineafowl), 1055 nucleotides. RefSeq lists it as uncharacterized. The record is from RefSeq and is a predicted model, not a curated record. Lineage: Eukaryota; Metazoa; Chordata; Aves; Galliformes; Numididae. The transcript has 3 exons.
ACAGAUGUGUGUCUAUCAAAAUCCGCCCAUGAGGGAAUAUUGCAAUUUUUAGCCGAAGACGUUCCAAUAUAGGAAAUACUCUAAUGAUCAUUUUAGUCAUUAAUUACCAUAGGCGCAUUAAAGUGAAGUCAUAACGAGAGAUGCAUCUCAGCAGAACUCAUGGGGAAUGGAACCAACGAGCACGCUCGCUCGCUGUUUGAGGGCUUUCCUUUCCCUGCAGGCUCUCAGGAGCCCGUAAGACUUCACACCACAGCCCUAACGAAGGGAACUCACACUAAAAACUAAGAGGGGGGAAAAAAGACACCGGCUAACUAUGGUCGGAGCCGCAUCGCCUACACGCACAGCCCCACACCGCGCCGUCUGUCGUUCCCCUUCCACCGGCUAUUGGUUAAACGUGCACGGCAUUCCCUGGAGACGCUGGAAAACAGCAUCUGACGUUUCUUCCCCGCUGAGCUGUGCGGGAGCGCUCCGAGCCCCGAGCCCCGGCACCCUGCCCGGCACCGAGCAGCUCUUCCAGCUCCGAGCAGCUCCGCGCUCGAACCGCUCCCCCUGACCCAUCUUCACCGUUUGCUCUCGCCCCGUCCCGGCAGCCCCCUCCCUCAGCCGGGCUCCCAGCGCCGGUGCCCGCUCCGACCCCCGGGCCGGCGGCCUCGCGCAGCGGGCUGAAAUCACCCCCCGGUAAAGCAGCGGGACCGCAGAACGCGCGUUAACUCCUUCAAACGAAGGCGGAGAGGCGUUCUGCGAGGCCGUUGUUUCGAACAAACACGCCGACGAAGUUUACGGGACGGCGAAGCGUCGCCCCGAGGGCGCUCCCCGCGGUGCCGCGCUGUGCCCCCCCCCCCCGGAGCCCGGCCGAGUUUCGGAGCAGCCCCCGAGCCCAGCCCGCCGCGCUCGGUUUGCUCUCUGCCAUAUGAAUCUCGUAUUUCUUGUCAGAUGCUAACAGAGCUCCAGGAGGAGCAGCAAACCCAGCUUGAACUCUUCCUGCUCGUCUCCUCUGGGCUGCCAGCACCGAUCCCCCACCACUCUCAGCAACACGCGCUGACAAGCUCUUUGUG